This 1371-nucleotide ribosomal RNA is filed under the name uncultured bacterium. RNAcentral describes it as "bacterial SSU rRNA". It matches the Rfam family "Bacterial small subunit ribosomal RNA", at positions 28 to 1381 of the family's 1533-position model. The record is from RNAcentral.
GAUAAACGCUGGCGGCGUGCCUAAUACAUGCAAGUCGAGCGAACGGACGAGAAGCUUGCUUCUCUGAUGUUAGCGGCGGACGGGUGAGUAACACGUGGAUAACCUACCUAUAAGACUGGGAUAACUUCGGGAAACCGGAGCUAAUACCGGAUAAUAUUUUGAACCGCAUGGUUCAAAAGUGAAAGACGGUCUUGCUGUCACUUAUAGAUGGAUCCGCGCUGCAUUAGCUAGUUGGUAAGGUAACGGCUUACCAAGGCAACGAUGCAUAGCCGACCUGAGAGGGUGAUCGGCCACACUGGAACUGAGACACGGUCCAGACUCCUACGGGAGGCAGCAGUAGGGAAUCUUCCGCAAUGGGCGAAAGCCUGACGGAGCAACGCCGCGUGAGUGAUGAAGGUCUUCGGAUCGUAAAACUCUGUUAUUAGGGAAGAACAUAUGUGUAAGUAACUGUGCACAUCUUGACGGUACCUAAUCAGAAAGCCACGGCUAACUACGUGCCAGCAGCCGCGGUAAUACGUAGGUGGCAAGCGUUAUCCGGGAUUAUUGGGCGUAAAGCGCGCGUAGGCGGUUUUUUAGUCUGAUGUGAAAGCCCACGGCUCAACCGUGGAGGGUCAUUGGAAACUGGAAAACUUGAGUGCAGAAGAGGAAAGUGGAAUUCCAUGUGUAGCGGUGAAAUGCGCAGAGAUAUGGAGGAACACCAGUGGCGAAGGCGACUUUCUGGUCUGUAACUGACGCUGAUGUGCGAAAGCGUGGGGAUCAAACAGGAUUAGAUACCCUGGUAGUCCACGCCGUAAACGAUGAGUGCUAAGUGUUAGGGGGUUUCCGCCCCUUAGUGCUGCAGCUAACGCAUUAAGCACUCCGCCUGGGGAGUACGACCGCAAGGUUGAAACUCAAAGGAAUUGACGGGGACCCGCACAAGCGGUGGAGCAUGUGGUUUAAUUCGAAGCAACGCGAAGAACCUUACCAAAUCUUGACAUCCUUUGACAACUCUAGAGAUAGAGCCUUCCCCUUCGGGGGACAAAGUGACAGGUGGUGCAUGGUUGUCGUCAGCUCGUGUCGUGAGAUGUUGGGUUAAGUCCCGCAACGAGCGCAACCCUUAAGCUUAGUUGCCAUCAUUAAGUUGGGCACUCUAAGUUGACUGCCGGUGACAAACCGGAGGAAGGUGGGGAUGACGUCAAAUCAUCAUGCCCCUUAUGAUUUGGGCUACACACGUGCUACAAUGGACAAUACAAAGGGCAGCGAAACCGCGAGGUCAAGCAAAUCCCAUAAAGUUGUUCUCAGUUCGGAUUGUAGUCUGCAACUCGACUACAUGAAGCUGGAAUCGCUAGUAAUCGUAGAUCAGCAUGCUACGGUGAAUACGUUCCCGGGUCU